This is a long non-coding RNA of Canis lupus familiaris (dog), 881 nucleotides long. RefSeq lists it as uncharacterized. Lineage: Eukaryota; Metazoa; Chordata; Mammalia; Carnivora; Canidae. The transcript has 3 exons. The record is from RefSeq and is a predicted model, not a curated record.
GAGAAUGUUGUACCUCUACUCAAUUUCCAUUUGCAAAAGGACCAUGAAAUCUACUCUAUGGUCAGCUGAGAUUCUUGGGCAAAAACAUUUGUAGAGUAGGCUAAGAAAUAGUGCUGGAGAUUUCCCUAUAAAUUAUGACAAAAUUUCUCUCAUCCUCAUUUGGUUUUUGAAAAAUAGCCUACUAAACCAAUACAGCAGAAAGAAAAAUGUUGAGUAUUCCAGAGGUAACAAAACCAAAUUUAGUAAAAUGCAUUGUUUCUGCCAAGCCCACACAACUCUGAUUAAAUUGCUAGUGAACUGGAGGGAAAGGGAGAAGCAAUGGACAAAGAGUAAGAGAUUAACUUGCUCUCUUGGCUCAGCAAGCAGGAUUUGCAUGGCGUCCUUUCAAGAACCUUGGAGCACUAAAGACACUGUCUCAUUCUUCUCCCACAAUCUUUUAGAUAAUGAGUAUGAUGAUUAGUUCUAUUUUCCAAGUGAAAAAAAAAUCAGGCACUACCUAAUUCUGGAACAAGUUAACAGGUGCCUCCUGACAUGAUGCGAUGGGGAAUACUUCACAUUGCCUAUGUAACUUUCUGGCCAAAGACAGUUUCCUCUGAAUCUAAACAUAGAGAAACAAUCAGACAAACGCAGAUUUCAGGAUUUGCUACAGGACAUCUGAUCUGGACUUUGAAAAAUGUCAAUGUCUCAAAAACAACAAAAAGCAAAGCUAAUAAUAAAAUUAUGGUUCCAGAAGACAGAAGAUGACUAGAUCCCUGAGUCGUUGCUUGGACAACAGCAGCCUAGAGAAUCAUCCUACCAGAUGCCUUGUGUUAUACUGCUGCAUGAAUGUGAAAUAAACUGUUACUGUGUUAAGCCACUGAAAUGCCAAGAUUGCCUGUUAC